GCACCCGUAGCUCAGUGAAUAGAGCGGGUGAUUGCUAGUAUCCAGGUCGUCAACUUCAAUCUGACCGGGUGCACCA
RNAcentral lists this transfer RNA (76 nucleotides) under Fuscovulum blasticum DSM 2131. RNAcentral's name for it is "Rhodobacter blasticus DSM 2131 tRNA-Ser". The record is from RNAcentral. Lineage: Bacteria; Pseudomonadati; Pseudomonadota; Alphaproteobacteria; Rhodobacterales; Paracoccaceae.